This 465-nucleotide ribosomal RNA is filed under the name Vreelandella stevensii. RNAcentral describes it as "partial 16S ribosomal RNA". It matches the Rfam family "Bacterial small subunit ribosomal RNA", at positions 338 to 795 of the family's 1533-position model. The record is from RNAcentral. Lineage: Bacteria; Pseudomonadati; Pseudomonadota; Gammaproteobacteria; Oceanospirillales; Halomonadaceae.
CCUACGGGAGGCUGCAGUGGGGAAUAUUGGACAAUGGGGGGAACCCUGAUCCAGCCAUGCCGCGUGUGUGAAGAAGGCCCUCGGGUUGUAAAGCACUUUCAGUGAGGAAGAACGCCUGGUGGUUAAUACCCAUCAGGAAAGACAUCACUCACAGAAGAAGCACCGGCUAACUCCGUGCCAGCAGCCGCGGUAAUACGGAGGGUGCGAGCGUUAAUCGGAAUUACUGGGCGUAAAGCGCGCGUAGGUGGCUUGAUAAGCCGGUUGUGAAAGCCCCGGGCUCAACCUGGGAACGGCAUCCGGAACUGUCAAGGUAGAGUGCAGGAGAGGAAGGUAGAAUUCCCGGUGUAGCGGUGAAAUGCGUAGAGAUCGGGAGGAAUACCAGUGGCGAAGGCGGCCUUCUGGACUGACACUGACACUGAGGUGCGAAAGCGUGGGUAGCAAACAGGAUUAGAUACCCCUGUAGUC